UCUCCCCCAUUGGCUAUAUCACCUUUUUGCUCUCAAUUUGAAUUUUGAUUCUCUUUUAAAUAAUGGUAAAAGAUUUAAUUAAGAAUAAAAAUGGAUUUCCUAGGACAAUUCCUUAUCUUAAGUUUUUAACUAAUAAAAAUGAUGUCUUAAACAAGUGUUUCCUAUGUAGACAUAGAUUGCUGAGAUUUUAUAGUUUACUUUAAGUUCUUCCCCAUUGGCUUUAUGGACUCUAUGAGUUGAUUUCUCAAAGUAUUUAAAGAGAAUUAAUAAUUCUCCUAUGCAAUGCAC
Molecule: long non-coding RNA, 288 nt
Filed under: Elaeis guineensis (African oil palm)
Lineage: Eukaryota; Viridiplantae; Streptophyta; Magnoliopsida; Arecales; Arecaceae
Description: long non-coding RNA (EGUI_LNC053943)
Source: RNAcentral